CUGCCUACAAUUGUCAGGUAAAUAUACAGGAAUGUUUAUGUCAAAAUAACACAUAAUCAUCUUCAAAAUUAUUAAAAAAGAAACACACACGCCAUUUCUGCUCUUCAUUAUCAACAAGGCAACAGGCCAACAACUAUGCAUGCUGGGUGUCAUGGAAGAAAUCGAUCCAGCAAGCAAAACAACAGCGGGAGAUCCAUGCUGGGUGCCCACGGCUCUUGCUG
RNAcentral lists this long non-coding RNA (221 nucleotides) under Oryza brachyantha (malo sina). Its description in RNAcentral is "long non-coding RNA (OBRA_LNC002717)". Lineage: Eukaryota; Viridiplantae; Streptophyta; Magnoliopsida; Poales; Poaceae. The record is from RNAcentral.